This is a long non-coding RNA of Empidonax traillii (willow flycatcher), 101 nucleotides long. RefSeq lists it as uncharacterized. The transcript has 3 exons. Lineage: Eukaryota; Metazoa; Chordata; Aves; Passeriformes; Tyrannidae. The record is from RefSeq and is a predicted model, not a curated record.
UGCUGUAUCCAGCUAUGGGUUCCUCAGGACAGAAGGGACAUGGAGCUCCUGGAACCACAGAGAUGAUGAGGGGACUGGAGCUUCUCUCCUCAGAGGAAGGG